RNAcentral lists this ribosomal RNA (422 nucleotides) under uncultured bacterium. RNAcentral's name for it is "partial 16S ribosomal RNA". It matches the Rfam family "Bacterial small subunit ribosomal RNA", at positions 359 to 774 of the family's 1533-position model. The record is from RNAcentral.
GAAUCUUCCGCAAUGGACGAAAGUCUGACGGAGCCACGCCGCGUGAGUGAUGAAGGUUUUCGGAUCGUAAAACUCUGUUGCCAGGGGAGAACACUUAGGAGAGUGACUGCUCUUAUGGUUACGGUACGUGUGAAGAAAGCACCGGCUAACUCCGUGCCAGCAGCCGCGGUAAUACGUAGGGGGCAAGCGUUGUCCGGAAUUAUUGGGCGUAAAGCGCGCGCAGGCGGUCAUUGAAGUUGGGUGUUUAAUUCCAGGGCUCAACCCUGGGUCGAACUGAAAACUGGGUGACUUGAGUACAGAAGAGGAGAGUGGAAUUCCACGUGUAGCGGUGAAAUGCGUAGAUAUGUGGAGGAACACCAGUGGCGAAGGCGACUCUCUGGGCUGUAACUGACGCUGAGGCGCGAAAGCGUGGGUAGCAAACA